AUGGCUGUCGUCAGCUCGUGUCGUGAGAUGUUGGGUUAAGUCCCGCAACGAGCGCAACCCUUGCCUUUAGUUGCCAGCAGUUCGGCUGGGCACUCUAAAGGGACUGCCGGUGUUAAACCGGAGGAAGGUGGGGAUGACGUCAAGUCCUCAUGGCCUUUAUGACCAGGGCUACACACGUACUACAAUGGCCGAUACAAAGGGCAGCGACACUGCGAGGUGAAGCCAAUACCCGUAAAAUCGGUCUCAGUCCGGAUUGGAGUCUGCAACUCGACUCCAUGAAGUUGGAAUCGCUAGUAAUCGUGGAUCAGCAUGCCACGGUGAAUACGUUCCCGGGCCUU
This 338-nucleotide ribosomal RNA is filed under the name uncultured Desulfobulbus sp. Its description in RNAcentral is "bacterial SSU rRNA". It matches the Rfam family "Bacterial small subunit ribosomal RNA", at positions 1045 to 1382 of the family's 1533-position model. The record is from RNAcentral. Lineage: Bacteria; Pseudomonadati; Thermodesulfobacteriota; Desulfobulbia; Desulfobulbales; Desulfobulbaceae.